AGCUUCGGUACGAGAUACGAAGCGUAAAGGUCAAAGGUACAGGUAAAAAUGCUCGGGAGUUGGGAGGGUGAGAAAGUCUGUAAGGAAGUGGCGUCUGAGCAGGUCUAGAGGGAUGGAUGUGGUUGGGAUAUGCAGGGAUAGGGAGGAGGAGCCAGCCUGAGUGAAGGUAAAGCCUCAACCAAAGGCAGAGUCAGGGUGUGAUACAGUUCGAUCUAGCAUGUAGCAGGAAAGUAAAUGCAGCCAAGCUAGAACAGCUUAUCCUCCCCCUUCAGCAAAUCAGACGGUGGUUACUACUACCACUUCAAAAUCAGAAGGAUUCAGUUUCCCCUUUUUCCACACCCAGUCUACUUUGCAUGUAACUUACCCUUCCCUGGCCCCAUAGAACAUUACAUCUGCUGUGACCUUCAGCUUACAGACCAAAGGAAUGAAUAAUGAAAGCAAACUAAAAUGUUUUCACUAGAUUGGUUUGAGAAAGCUAGAGGAAUUUUCACUCUUGACAAUCAGGCUUUAGAAUUGGAAAUUUGACAGAACAAGACCCUCCUCUUAAAAUGGAGGUGAUGGUGGUGGCGCUGAUUUUCUAAAGACUUUAACUUCUAGAUUAUGAAAGGAAAGCAUGUUCUUGCCAAAUCUGGGCCUUAGUUACAUCUGAAUAUAUACGUUGAAGGUAGGACACAUCCUCAGAGGUCAUCUAGUCCAAUCUCUCUCCUAAACAGAGUCCACUCUGUAGCACCCCAGCUGAUAAAUAAUGCAGCGUACACUUCAGUGCUCCAAGGGAAGAGAGGUCACUAUUUCAAAAGGCAGGCACAUCCACUGAGGUAAAACUUUGGAAUUCUUCUGUUUAGACUAAAAAUCACACUCACUGGAGCUUAAAAUGGAGCAAUACAGGAGUAGUCUUCCAUCUUUUUCAUGACGGCCCUUCAAAUAUUAGGUUGCAGUCUUCAUUACCCACUAAGUCUUCUCUGUUCACGUUAAACAUACUCCGUUCCUUUGAACAUCCCUUCUAUGCUGAUGUACAGUGGACCUUUCUGUGGUGAUGGAAAUGUUCUACAACCAUACUGUUCAGUAUAGUAGCCACUGUGAAUUGAGCAUUUGAAAUGUUGCUACUGUGACUGAGGAGCUUAAUUUUUUAAAUUGUAGUUCAGAUGUGGCUAGUGGUUACCGUAUACAAGCCACAACCUUGUAUUUUUAAAUGCAUUCUCCCUCUUGAUCAUUCACUUUUUUACAUGCAUUUGAGCUUCCACCAAAUGUCUAGCGCCUGCAAUUCAAUACUAACCAUACAGCCUUAGGGAUGACUGUUUGCACCUGGACAGUAUUUCUAUUAAUGCUUUCCAGAUGGAAUUUUUUUUUAAAUAUCCAGAGUAUAUGUGGUUCAUAAUGAUAAUCACUGGAACUAGUAUUUUGUCAGCAAUCGUAGUGCCUAAACUUGUAUCACUGCAUUUUUUAACCUAAACAUAAGACUUGACAUUUCAGCUUUUUGGCUUAGGCCCAGAAGUUGGGGUACUCCAGUUUAUCAUUUUCAAACUUGUUUCAGUAUAAUUUACCAACCAGCCAACUUUGUGUCAUUUAUAGAUUUGGCAUUACACCAUGUGACCCAUACGUAGUCCUUUACAAUUUACAAGGUACUUUUCAUAUGUUAUAUUUAAUUUGAUCCUUACAACAACCUUGUGAGGUAGGUAAGAUAUGAAAUCUACAUUUUAUAGAUAACACAGCUGAAUGAAGCAUAGCAGGAUCUGAAUGGAUGACGUCCUUUUUCUACUCCAUUGAACAUCUUCUUGUACAUUCUCUUCAGCCAUAUCCUUGAUAGAAAUGAUGAAGAGGACCUCCAGAGGCCAGGCUGACUCUGAAUUCUUAAAUAGCACUGACUGAUACAACAGUUUAAACAGGGGAGGGGUCAAUGAAAUUGAACCUUCUGUGACACUUCAGGAGAGGACAGAGCACAGCACUUUCAUAGAAUACUCCUAUCAUGUUUGCUGAAAUUUAAUUGCAAAGAGAUAAACUGGUACCUGAACCUAAGGUUGGUAGCAAUUCAGAAUUCUCAGCCCAUACAUGGGAAUUAAAAGUCCUGCUUUCUGUUAAGACCCAGAGUUAAUCUCCCAGAAUUUUCUCCUAACCUUUGCUUCCGGCCAAGAGCAGUUACCAAAUUAAUUCCCACACACUUCUCAUGUGGAGCCAGUCAUCAUCCCUGACAGCUCUUCUGUUCUACACCCUUGAAAGUCCUAGCCAAUGAGCUGAAUGAUACAUAGCUGACAUUCACAUUAUUGCUGAGCUAAUGAAGUAAGCAGUACCCCAGCUAUCUCUUGGAACUCUCCAGUUUGAAGCUCCUUAUUCAUCUUAGGUCUUGAAUCCCCUUGGAGAAAGAGAUACAGUGUAAUAGCUUCCAUCUUAAAAAGUGUAAACAAUAUAACCAUUUUCAUGUGCCCUCAAGCUCUUUAAACUGUAAUUCUACUUAUGAAAUCUGCACAGAGUAGGAAUUGGUAUAGCCUACGAAAGUGGGGGUUGAAAAACCGCAGCCAAACUGACUAUGAAUCGCCUACUUUGGGGAUUGAGUUCACUUGGUUAUUUUAUAAGCACCUUUGAAAUCAGGUAAUUUUCCCACUGGCCCUUUGUUCGAGGGGAAAAUGCUUCUUUACAUAAUUUUGACUCCGCAAAAACUGUAAGGAGAGAGGAAUUGGGAUCUCAAGGUCUUUAGCAAACGUGCUCGCUGCGACCGCUCGAGGCAAGGCAACGGAAGUCGGAGGGACUUUGCAACAGCUGCAAGAGUUUCACUCCCCGCCCGGAGAGCGGUAGUGUGAGCGAGGCUACCCCAACUCCGGUGCCGUCCGACAGCCAGACGUGCGCCAAUGCCUGCUGAACCCCGAGGCCCACCUAGCUGGACCCCAGACAGAUCCCACCUGUUCCCCUUCUUUCCCUACGCCUUGGCCCGUCGGGGGCUCAGCGCCAAAGAGCACGGCGUGGACACGAAGAACCCUCUCCUAGCCCAUGCUCACCCUUAGUCAGCGUGUCCAGCACCCCCGACUUCUCCAAGUACCUCCGGAACUGCUCGCGCUUCGAGUCGGCGGCCUGAGGAGACACGGCGGGUCAGUGGCCAAAGCCCAGGGGCCGGAGCAGGAAGAAGGCGCUGGGAGUCCGGCAACCCCGCCUCCGCCUCGCUACCUCAGGCCCCCAAAACCUGCGCGCGCGCCCCCAUUCCCACCCUCAGCCGACCAGCGGCUGGCGACCGCCCGCACGCCCCCAGCCACGCCGCGCCCCCCUCACUUUGUAAUGGGCCAUAGUGACAGCGGCAGCGGCGUAGCUGGCGCCCGAGACCGUGGCUGGCGGGCUCUGAGCCGCACUGCUCAUGCGCGGAAGGGCGCACGCGCCUGCGUACUUGCGGACCACGGUCCGAGAUCGCAGGGGUGUGGCCUGUUUUCAUGACGACCAGGACGCUGUGGGUGCCCCAUAGUGGGCUAAGCCGAGGGAGGCUGCGUACGCCCGCCUCUCUGCUCCCGGAGCAGCACCUCUCCUUCCUCUUCCGGUCCUUGCCGCGAUUCGGUUGCUUAGCGAGAGGCGAGGUUUUGGUAACUCCGGACGGGUGUCCAGGUGGGGCCAAAGAUGGGCGUGGCUUGCGGAGGCCGGUAGCGCGGGGACUGGAGCCGGGUGGGAUCUUCGCACACCCGUCUGGAGCAGACCUGUCUCAGCUGGGACCUCAUUAGGUGUGGCAACCUAUACAAGCCGGUUUCUUGGCUCUCAUGCUGAAAAGGUGCGCACGACCGACGCCGGGUAACCCUUGGAAAGAAUCUAUACCCUAACUGGGUGGUCAUCUGCAUGCCCCACUGAAACUGAUCUCCUGAGUUACGCCCAUCAAACAAAUCCACUUCCGGAGCGAUGUGAGUCCCAACCAUGAAUGCAGAGUACUCUUGGCACUUCAGAAUAUAUCCCCACUGCAAAAUCUCAUGUAUUCCUCAGAAUUACCUUAAGUAAAAAGAAGGCAAUGAUUAUGUUCCCAAUUCUUCUCAUCUUCAACCUCCCUAACAGACUUUCCUGUUGAAAUCUCUUCCUCCAUCUUUCAUUUCAAUCAUAAUUCAUUCACUGACUUCAUUCUCCUGCUCCCCAGACACAGGCAUUCCCUCUGCAUGCUUCAACAACACUCUUUUCUUUUUUAAGAUUUUAUUUAUUUAUUUGACAGGCAGAGAUCAAAAG
Molecule: long non-coding RNA, 4179 nt
Organism: Mustela erminea (ermine)
Lineage: Eukaryota; Metazoa; Chordata; Mammalia; Carnivora; Mustelidae
Exons: 3
Source: RefSeq, a predicted model, not a curated record